CCCAACUCUGCUGUUUACAUCUAUGCAAAUCUUCGGUAAUCCAGUACUGAGGCUUGCAUCAUAGCGCGAGGAGCCUGGCUCUUUGCUAAGCUGCAGAAUCAGUUUUGUAUCGCAUCUCGAAAGCCAUGGUGCUAAUGCCUUUGAACAGCGGGACGUUAGAGGACUAGAUGGGGUCCCUCCGUUUCUAAAGCCUGUGACUGCACGAAUGCAGGAAUCCCAACUGCUAGGCAGGGAGUUUGGGUUUGGAGCAGAGGCGACAGCCGGGGGGAUGCCUGUCACAGCUCUGAGACGUCCCAGCAGAGGGAAGGGUCUUGCCCAGCACACAUUGGCUAGGGCCAUGGCAAGUUACUGGCUUGCAACACAGAAUCUGGUAGCAUCUAUGCGUAUGAUUCUUCUCUGAGCAUUGCUGUGACCAUGUUCAUGUCUUUGAGAUAAUAUAUGUUAACAGUAAGUAUUUUUUGACCAGAUAUAAAUGAUUAUAUAGGAAUAUAUAUAUAAAAUGCAAGA
RNAcentral lists this long non-coding RNA (507 nucleotides) under Apteryx owenii (little spotted kiwi). Its description in RNAcentral is "lncRNA (ENSAOWG00000013091.1)". Lineage: Eukaryota; Metazoa; Chordata; Aves; Apterygiformes; Apterygidae. The record is from RNAcentral.